Molecule: ribosomal RNA, 256 nt
Filed under: uncultured bacterium
Lineage: Bacteria
Description: partial 16S ribosomal RNA
Rfam family: Bacterial small subunit ribosomal RNA
Source: RNAcentral
UACAGAGACCUCAAGCGUUAUCCGGAAUCAUUGGGCGUAAAGCGUACCGAUAGGUGGUUUGGUUAGUCUUGGGUGAAAUCCCGAAGCUCAACUUCGGGUUUGCUUAAGAUACUGCCAGACUAGAGGGGUAAAGAGGAGAUUGGAACGAGCGGUGUAGUAGUGAAAUGCGUUGAUAUCGUUCGGAACACCGAAAGCGAAGGCAGAUCUCUGGGUACCUCCUGACACUGCUAGGACGAAAGCGUGGGUAGCGAAUGGG